This 496-nucleotide ribosomal RNA is filed under the name uncultured bacterium. RNAcentral describes it as "partial 16S ribosomal RNA". It matches the Rfam family "Bacterial small subunit ribosomal RNA", at positions 28 to 507 of the family's 1533-position model. The record is from RNAcentral.
GAUGAACGCUGGCGGCGUGCCUAGUACAUGCAAGUCGAGCGAACAGAUGAGGAGCUUGCUCCUCUGACGUUAGCGGCGGACGGGUGAGUAACACGUGGAUAACCUACCUAUAAGACUGGGAUAACUUCGGGAAACCGGAGCUAAUACCGGAUAAUAUAUUGAACCGCAUGGUUCAAUAGUGAAAGACGGUUUUGCUGUCACUUAUAGAUGGAUCCGCGCCGCAUUAGCUAGUUGGUAAGGUAACGGCUUACCAAGGCAACGAUGCGUAGCCGACCUGAGAGGGUGAUCGGCCACACUGGAACUGAGACACGGUCCAGACUCCUACGGGAGGCAGCAGUAGGGAAUCUUCCGCAAUGGGCGAAAGCCUGACGGAGCAACGCCGCGUGAGUGAUGAAGGUCUUGGAUCGUAAAACUCUGUUAUUAGGGAAGAACAAAUGUGUAAGUAACUAUGCACGUCUUGACGGUACCUAAUCAGAAAGCCACGGCUAACUACGUG